GACGAACGCUGGCGGCGUGCCUAAUACAUGCAAGUCGAGCGAAGUUUUUCCGGUGCUUGCACCGGAAAAACUUAGCGGCGAACGGGUGAGUAACACGUAAAGAACCUGCCUCAUAGACUGGGACAACUAUUGGAAACGAUAGCUAAUACCGGAUAAUAGCAUUAACUGCAUGGUUGAUGUUUAAAAGUUGGUUUUGCUAACACUAUGAGAUGGCUUUGCGGUGCAUUAGCUAGUUGGUGGGGUAAAGGCCUACCAAGGCGACGAUGCAUAGCCGACCUGAGAGGGUGAUCGGCCACACUGGGACUGAGACACGGCCCAGACUCCUACGGGAGGCAGCAGUAGGGAAUCUUCCGCAAUGGGCGAAAGCCUGACGGAGCAACGCCGCGUGAGUGAAGAAGGAUUUCGGUUCGUAAAGCCCUGUUGUUAGGGAAGAAUGAUUGUGUAGUAACUAUACACAGUAGAGACGGUACCUAACCAGAAAGCCACGGCUAACUACGUG
RNAcentral lists this ribosomal RNA (499 nucleotides) under uncultured bacterium. RNAcentral describes it as "partial 16S ribosomal RNA". It matches the Rfam family "Bacterial small subunit ribosomal RNA", at positions 28 to 507 of the family's 1533-position model. The record is from RNAcentral.